RNA transcript from Numida meleagris (helmeted guineafowl), 2266 nucleotides. It is a transcript of the gene named BBSome interacting protein 1, with no coding region annotated. NCBI's taxonomy places the organism in Eukaryota, Metazoa, Chordata, Aves, Galliformes, Numididae. The transcript has 4 exons. The record is from RefSeq and is a predicted model, not a curated record.
CCCGGCGCAUGCGCGUGUGGUUGGAAGCCGCCAUGCCGGAGGGGAAGGCCGCGUUCCGGGAGGUGCUGCCCAAACAAGGGCAGCUGUCGGUGGAGGACGCGGCAGGCAUGGUGCUGUGCAAGCCCAAGGUGCUGCCCCUCAAGUCGGUGUCGCUGGAGAAGCUGGAGCAGCUGCAGCGCGCGGCGAUGGAGGCGGCGCGGCCGCCCGAGGGGACUCCGGGCGCUCAGCCGCAGCCCUAGGCGGGUGCCAGUUACAUAGAAAAAAUGACCGGGUUGGUACGUGGUGGCUGGAACAUCUAAAACCGACCAGUGGAACAGGUUUGUCUGUGUGGAUCACUCAAACUCCUGAAUCUUCCAUCUCAGUACUGUGCUGGUCCCUGCCAAGCAAAUCAGCAAAACUAAGAGGAGAGGCAGGUCUUCAUCUGCUGCAGAGCAGGCAGGCGUGCUGCCUGGGAUUCCAACAGAGGCUUACUUUCCUCAAGUUUGUAUCCACCCUGCUCUUUGUUCCUCCAUCUUCCCUAGUCUCCAGUACCAACCUGUAACGCUCAGGUUCUAAGAUCCUGCUUAAAAAAGCAGUGCCGGCACCCACCUGUAAUAAAACAAGUACCUUGAAGGACAGAGGUCUCUCAGUGGUUUGGAGAUUAUUCCAGCCUGAAAGCAUUCCUCUACAAACCGCUCAAGCACAGAAUAGGAGUGUGGCACGUCCAGGUUAAUAUCUGGUAUUUCACAGUAAACUCGUUCAUAGCCCUGCAGUUUAAGAAUGCAAAUCAUGAUUUGGUUAUUCUAUAAUUACAAUUUUUUAAACAUCUUUUUGCACUCAAACAUUGAUUUUUUUAAUGUAAUUUUAUGUAUUCUUUACGCAGUUUCAACAAACUUUUUUGUUCUGCUUUUUUGAAAGCAGAACACCUGCAAAUUAGUGGCAAAGCAGGGUAUAAUACCAGCCAAUUCCAAGCAGCUGAUGUCACAGAACUACAUAUCUAUAUGAAAACACUAGCUGAAUGUUUCGGCUUCUUAAAAAGACAGAAAUCCAGACAGUACAGAAUGCAUACGAUAGCCUAGCUGCUAGGAGCACAGGGAAGAAGGAUUAAUUUCUCUGCCCUGUAGAUGGAGUGCAAGCCAAUAAGUUCAUGCAGUAAAGGAAACACUGGCAACAAGGAUGAGUCCAUCACUUCCUGCCAGCAGUGCAGCUGGGUAGAGUCUGACAAAUCUUUGUGUGGUACCUAGCUUGCCCCAGCACAGAGCAGCUUUCCUACAAUCACAGAUGGAUGCAAUGCAGUGGUUGAUUCCAACUGCACGAACUAUUAGCUUCUAAAUAACAUUCUAAUUAGCAUUUGCAAUUUGGUGGAUCAUGUCGUACAGUUCUCAAAUUGUGAAGUACUGCCACAUAAAACUGGUUUUAAAAAUGUGAAGCUACAUUACAGCAUAUGAAAUGAUUACUUUUAAUAAUUUAAACACAUAACAUCAGUUGAAAAAUCUUUGAGUGAAGAUUCAAAUAUUCCGUAACCCACCACUGUAAAGAGAACUACUGCCCAGAACUCGUAUGUACUUGCCAGAGUACACGAAAAGUAUGGAAAAGGAAAAUGACACUAUUUGUUUGGGAUACCCAAUGGCCAUGGAAGAGAAAAAAAAUUGUGUCAGGAAUAAAUUACAAAUAGUAUUUAAAAGAAAAUAAAAGCUACAGAAACUUGAAGAUCUUACCCAGCAUUCUUUAAAUGCCAUACUUACUCUUUUCAUUUGGUCCAUAGUAAUGACAGAAGACCUCGAGAGAGAUUUCAGCAAAUCCAGCAUCAUUUUAAAGGUCUUUUCUCCAGUUGACUCCAAAACCAUCACGAUUGCCUAAAACAAAUCACGCAAAGUUUUUAACUAAAAAGAAAACCGUGGUUCAAGUACAUGUUGUUGUGUAAGCAUAUCAAGUCCAAAAAAGAGUGAAGGCAUUGUGUGUUUUCUGGAGAGACAAGUCCAUUUGUCACAAGCAGUCCCAAUUCCAGGAUAUUAUUAUUUGAAAGACUGAUAAAAAGUUAUUUGCACAAAGAGAAAAGGUAUGAAGAAAGAGAAAGGACUAGACAGAGUAAAGAGCAUUGCCUAGUUUGAGGGGUACAUAACUGUAUCCCCAUGAUUCCUGUAGCACAGAUGGCAAUUAAUUUUGUAUCUAUGAUUUUAGAGGAAGAACUCCUACGUCUAAAACAUACCGGUCUCCACAAACCCCAUCAACCAAAAGGUAUCUGUUUUCUAUCCUAAAAUAAAGAGUCAAUUUAUUGAAAAGAAAA